ACUGCCAAAGUUGGUGUCUGAGAUAACACAUUGUGGAGCUGGGGGAAAGCAGGCAGCAUCAGAGGCUCAAGAAAGUUGAUGUUUUGGGUCAGGACCCUUCCUCCAAAAUGGAGGGUGGACGGGAGCUCAGAAACAAAUAGUGUGGAGAGGGAGGAGGUGCUGGGGAAGGUAGGUGGGAUGGUGAUAAAUGAGUACUAUCCAGAUUGGAACAGAUUUACCCCAGAAGGUAUUGAAUACAAGUUCCAAAUCACUCUCAAAAUCCUAGUGACUGUUAACAUUCAUGUUUUUUUUGUCUGUGUGUUUCAGUAGUUGCAUGUCAGUUUGAAUGGUUCAUUGAGAGUGAGGAACCUAUGGACUCACACACACCAUCAUGGAAUUUAAUUCAAAGAGUGACUCCUCUUCAAAGUACUUAGUCGCUUUUAAAAUCUUGACCAUUUCUGCUGUCUAGUUGAACAAGUGUAGCUGAAUACUGCUUCAAUAGGAAUUAGUGUUUAAUAGGAACAUAUUUGUGAAACUUACAGUUCCUCAAGCUUUAGCAUAAACUGGUGGAGACUUUCGGCGCUUGCAAAAAGGCUCACCUCUCUUAAUACUGAAGGAAAAUUGGAGUUUAAAAAUGCGGAUAAAGUUCUCCAAGCUGACAGAAAUUGAAAGCACUCGCAUCCUGUGACGAUGGGGUAGGAGUGGAAGAAUCAGAGUGUUUCUUUGAAAAUUGGCUUGAUGUGUCUGUCCAAGGGUCAUCUGGAGGAAAAAAUACAAGUGUUGAACUCCAUCUGCCACCUCUCAGCCCAUCUGCAGCGAGCAGCAGCGGAGGCAAGACGGACCCGGAAGACUGCAGCUAAGGUAAAGCAGUUUAUUUUUAAAAUUACUUACCGGUAGCGGGCAGCGGUGUUUUUUUUUCCUCUCAGACAAGGAGUGGGAGCAGCAGAGGAAGUGACGAGGACCAGAGGGGCAGCCGGGAAGGAAAGCAGUGACCAUAUAUAUCAGCAAGGCGGCUAAACCCGAGGCUCUACAACUGUAGUGUCUCCCACCCGCCCUCCUCCUCUAACCUAGUUAAUAAGAUAUCUUCAAACAAGUAGCUGAACCCACAGAUUUAUGUGACCAACGAAGCCUGAGCCUUUUGCUUCACGAUGCAGUCCAGAUCCCUCGGCAGCUGGG
Stegostoma tigrinum is the source of this 1155-nucleotide long non-coding RNA. RefSeq lists it as uncharacterized. The transcript has 5 exons. NCBI's taxonomy places the organism in Eukaryota, Metazoa, Chordata, Chondrichthyes, Orectolobiformes, Stegostomatidae. The record is from RefSeq and is a predicted model, not a curated record.